AUGGCGACCGGCGCACGGGUGAGUAACACGUAUCCAACCUGCCUCAUACUCGGGGAUAGCCUUUCGAAAGAAAGAUUAAUACCCGAUGUUAUAGUCCUACCGCAUGAUGGGAUUAUUAAAGAAUUUCGGUAUGGGAUGGGGAUGCGUUCCAUUAGUUAGUUGGCGGGGUAACGGCCCACCAAGACAACGAUGGAUAGGGGUUCUGAGAGGAAGGCCCCCCACACUGGGACUGAGACACGGCCCAGACUCCUACGGGAGGCAGCAG
RNAcentral lists this ribosomal RNA (265 nucleotides) under uncultured bacterium. RNAcentral's name for it is "partial 16S ribosomal RNA". It matches the Rfam family "Bacterial small subunit ribosomal RNA", at positions 88 to 354 of the family's 1533-position model. The record is from RNAcentral.